Molecule: long non-coding RNA, 453 nt
Organism: Mirounga angustirostris (Northern elephant seal)
Lineage: Eukaryota; Metazoa; Chordata; Mammalia; Carnivora; Phocidae
Exons: 3
Source: RefSeq, a predicted model, not a curated record
AGACAAGAAUGAAUGUGGCUACCUUUAAAAACGUAGAAGUCUUUUUCCGAUUGAUAUUGUAGUAUAAAAUCUUUCGUUCUGUCUAUGGUAGAGCCCAACCAGAUUAUAGGUAGAAGUGUCAAUGCAUUAUUGUUCACGUCAGUGUGUACUACUGAUCUUCUGUUUAAUUUGACAUGCCUUCCUUCUUUUAUUUUUGAUUUAACAGAAUGAAUUUAAGGACUUCUCACUGAAGUGGACAAAGACAUUUAGUCACUUUGACAGAGCAGGGCAAACCAAGUUGGCAGACAAGUUACCUGGAGAAAAAGAGAGAUGGAUGCAGAAGCUGAAGAUAAAACGCUGCGUACCCGCUCUAAAGGAACCAAGGUGCCAAUAGAUUCUCUAAUUCAGGAGCUCAGGUAAGAUUUGUCCCACGUUACUUUUUCUAGUAUCGAUUUGGCUUUAAUUAUUAGAAUG